RNAcentral lists this ribosomal RNA (468 nucleotides) under uncultured bacterium. RNAcentral's name for it is "partial 16S ribosomal RNA". It matches the Rfam family "Bacterial small subunit ribosomal RNA", at positions 28 to 507 of the family's 1533-position model. The record is from RNAcentral.
GACGAACGCUGGCGGCGUGCUUAACACAUGCAAGUCGAACGGAAAGGCCCUGCUUUUGUGGGGUGCUCGAGUCGCGAACGGGUGAGUAACACGUGAGUAACCUGCCCUUGACUUUGGGAUAACUUCAGGAAACUGGGGCUAAUACCGGAUAGGAGCUCCUGCUGCAUGGUGGGGGUUGGAAAGUUUCGGCGGUUGGGGAUGGACUCGCGGCUUAUCAGCUUGUUGGUGGGGUAGUGGCUUACCAAGGCUUUGACGGGUAGCCGGCCUGAGAGGGUGACCGGCCACAUUGGGACUGGGGAACGGCCAAGACUCCUACGGGCGGCAGCGGUGGGGAAUAUUGCACAAUGGGCGGAAGCCUGAUGCAGCGCCGCCGCGUGCGGGAUGACGGUCUUCGGGUUGUAAACCGCUUUCGCCGGUGACGAAGCGUGAGUGACGGUAAUGGGUAAAGAAGCACCGGCUAACUACGUG